This 5399-nucleotide long non-coding RNA is filed under the name Salmo salar (Atlantic salmon). RNAcentral's name for it is "lncRNA (ENSSSAG00000104870.1)". The record is from RNAcentral. Lineage: Eukaryota; Metazoa; Chordata; Actinopteri; Salmoniformes; Salmonidae.
UGGGCAGUAAUCUGUCUCAACCCAGAGCCUGAAUGGGAAGUUAUUUUGGCAGUGUUUCCCCUAUAUGCAUUAGCAGUGACCACUGUUUUUUUAUUUAUAUACGGAUGUGUAUGUAUGAUUUAAAAAUAAAUAAAUAAAAAAGCGGGCACGGUAAAACAUUUUUCAGUGUAAACUUAAGCGUAAUGAUUAUGGCUCUAGAUUGCAGAAAAGGCUGUUUCAGGUGUUUGAAAAAUGUAAAAUUCACUAAUUUAAGGAUGGGGGCUGGGGCCCCCUCUGCACCUCUCCUCAGCCAUUCUCACAUACUUUGUGCCCCCUCAGAUUUGUGGGGUGCAUGACAGCCUGCAGCUUGUCACUGGUCAUUUCGCCUUUCUUGCAUGUUUUUAAUUUGCUUUCGUUCAGACUCUUAGUGUAUUAGGCUGUAGGCCUAGUGGAAUGUAUUAGACUAUAGGUAGUGGAAUGUAUUAGACUGUAGGUAGUGUAGGUAGUGGAAUGUAUUAGACUGUAGGCAGUGUAGGUAGUGGAAUGUAUUAGACUGUAGGUAGUGUAGGUAGUGGAAUGUAUUAGACUGUAGGUAGUGGAAUGGAUUAGACUGUAGGUAGUGGAAUGUAUUAGACUAUAGGUAGUGGAAUGUAUUAGACUGUAGGUAGUGUAGGUAGUGGAAUGUAUUAGACUGUAGGUAGUGGAAUGUAUUAGACUGUAGGUAGUGGAAUGUAUUAGACUAUAGGUAGUGGAAUGUAUUAGACUAUAGACCCUUUCUAAGCCAUAAAUGGAGAUGGGGAUUUGGAUUUGUGGCUUUGACUUAAUUCUCUGUCCAGGCCAAUGACUAUGACGGCAAUUCUGAUCUAACUGGUCACUUUAAUAAUGUUUACAUACUGUUUUACUCAUUUAAUAUGUAUAUACUGUAUUCUACUGUAUUUUAGUUAAUGCCACUUCGACAUUGCUCAUCCUAAUAUUUAUAUAUUUCUUAAUUCCAUACUUUUACUUUUAGAUUUGUGUGUAUUGUUGUGAAUUGUUAGAUACUACAGCACUGUUGGAGCUAAUUCUACGUUCUACCCAUAUUCAGUCCAAUUUUAACAAAUAAUAUUGUAUUGUAACCUAUUGAGUUCAUGAUUUGCACAGCAUAGCAUACCUUCCUAGGUCAGGCCGUCAAAGAUUUCUGGUCACGCUCCUACCCGGAACUUAAACCUCCAGUCUGGCGAUCCUAUCGGACAUAUUUCAUGAAACACAGGAACGAUUAAAGGAGAACAUAUUUGUUUACAUAGAUCCGAAGUUUAAAUGUUUUCAGUUUCUCAGACAUCUUCUGGUUUCGAAAUUAGCCAGGGCCAUUUUACUAUUUAAUAACUUAGAAACAGUGAAAACCCAUUAAAUUGUCUUGUUUAGUUAGCUCUCUGGAGCAGGUUUUCCGCUUGUUACGAGGGUAGCUAGCUAGCUAGCAGCAAUCAAUCGCUUGCUAUACAUUUCACGAUGGACGACAGACUAUGAAAUUUGACCUCCGAUGUUAUAAACAAAUUGAAAGGUAGUUAUUGCAGUUUUACAAAAAUGGAUAUCAGUCUAACAAUUUCCCUAAUGCGGGGCCAGAUGGGUACCGUGAUAGAGAGAGCGGUUAGUGCCGCUGUUGAGACUGUGUUGGGGGAGAUGCUUAGAGUCGUCGGCAUUAAAUUUGACGAGCUGAAGAGGGAGGUAGUUGCUAAAGAGAAAGAGGCGGAGAACAUAAGACAGAUGUUGGAGAUAUCCCGAUCUCAGAUGAAGACUAUGCGGAAACACAUGAAUGCUCUGGGUGAGAACGCCCACGCUGCCACUUAUCAGACCUACCGGACAGCAUUCGGCCAUUCUGAUCCCCGCAGAAUUCACGGUUCCUCCGAGGCCGCACUAUCCUCGGGUUUACCACAGCCACCGAGAAGGAUGGUUACUAACAACAACCAAAUUCCCACUACAAAUGGAAACUUACAGCCAAGGAAUCGAGUCACCAUCACCCUACCCUCUGAGAAUAUGGUCAGGGCCACCCAGCCGUCUGAUAACUUGGUCAGGGUCACCCAACCCUCUGAUAACUUCGUCAGGGCCACCCAGCCGUCUGAUAACUUGGUCAGGGUCACCCAACCCUCUGAUAACUUGGUCAGGGUCACCCAACCCUCUGAUAACUUCGUCAGGGCCACCCAGCCGUCUGAUAACUUGGUCAGGGCCACCCAACCCUCUGAUAACUUGGUCAGGGCCACCCAACCCUCUGAUAACUUGGUCAGGGUCACCCAACCCUCUGAUAACUUGGUCAGGGCCACCCAACCCUCUGACAAUAUGGUAACCGUUAGGCCCACGUCAACAUCCUUUGACAGUCACGAUGAUCUGACAACUGUGAUCUCCCAGACUCUGGAGGAUCGGACAUUGACACCCACUAGUUCAUCAGAGCAUCUGGAACCUUUGAAAGAGGAGCACCCAGCCCCUCUAGACCCCGAGGUGUCUGAUGAGAGCCAGAGGAGGGAGGAGGAAGAAGAGUGGACCACCGUUACACAGCCACCAUCAGAGACCAGCACAGACCCUGGAGACCAGCUGGUCCUCUCCCCACCCAGGACUGACGGAGCAGACUGCUCUGCCAGGAGUGUACUGCCACUCUCCCAGCCACUUUCCCAGUUCCAAGUGAAAGAGGAGGAAGCUGAGGUGGAGAUCAUCUGUAUCAAACAGGAACCAGAGGAGGUGGAGACCCUGCUGAUAAACCUGGCUGCCGAAGGCUUCGACUCUCAGGGCAACCUUUUAGACAGGCAGACUCAGGGAAACCACCUCCUGGACAGUCACAGGACAAUCCCAGGCUCUCAGAGCCAGAGGGAUCGGAGAGCAUCCCGUCCACCACAGAACCAGAGGACCUUAGCAGAGAAUACACCCUUCACCUCAGCCGACUCUUGUUCAUAUGGGCUGUCCCAGGCAGUGAUGUCCACGUCAGGAGGAGUUGCUCCCAGGCCGAUGGUUCGUCCGUGGCCCAAGGACCUGAGUCUGUACGAGGAGUUUAAAAUGAGACGAACUGAGUUGAGGAGGAGGAACCAGACCCGUCAGAGAGAGAUGGAGAAAAACCUUCCCCAGCCUCUAUUAGCUGACCUGGUGAAGGAGAGACGGGAGAAGACCCGGCUCAGAGUGGCCCGCUGGAGAGCCAAGAGGAAGCUUCAGGCCUGCCUACUGACUCAGAUGAACCAGCAGACACAACACCAACAGACUGGACCGGGUCUGGGCCAAGGGAACAGUCUGAACAGUGGGCUGGGGAAUCAUAGCCAGAUUAGCCACCACACACAGCACAAAACCACAGGCCCGACUCAGACACAACAGAGGAACAGUGCUGCCGUCUCUCAAUCUCAGUACAAUAACAGUUUUCUGUACAACAGAAGUCACUGUGACUCUGGGGCUGGUAACAUUAACUACCCUUCUCUCCAGUUAAACUCCUCUUCUCUAAUGCUGGGGCAACACGGAGGACACAAUAUGGUGGAGCACAUUAUGCAGCCUGCGAUGACGUCAUCCUCACAGCAGGGCCUCUCCCUGACAGACUCUGAGCUCUACCAGUAACAAGGGAUCAUGGGUAUUCAAAUCUUACCCUACAAGUUCUGGAUUACUGCUGGUUUUCUGUUCUACCUGAUAAUGAAUUACACCCACCUGGUGUCCCAGGUCUAAAUCAGGCCCUGAUUAGAGUGGGAUCACCCACCUGGUGUCCCAGGUCUAAAUCAGGCCCUGAUUAGAGGGGGAUCACCCACCUGGUGUCCCAGGUCUAAAUCAGUCCCUGAUUAGAGGGGGAAUCAUCCACCUGGUGUCCCAGGUCUAAAUCAGUCCCUGAUUAGAGGGGGAUCACCCACCUGGUGUCCCAGGUCUAAAUCAGUCCUUGAUUAGAGGGGAAUCACCCACCUGGUGUCCCAGGUCUAAAUCAGUCCCUGAUUAGAGGGGGAAUCAUCCACCUGGUGUCCCAGGUCUAAAUCAGUCCCUGAUUAGAGGAGAAGAGUGGAACUGGCUUUGUGGUCCACAUUUGAGUUAGAGGGCAGGAGACCAACAUUACAGUACCAGUUCUACUCUACCAGUACCAGUUCUACUCUACCAGUACCAGUUCUACUCUACCAGUACCAGUUCUACUCUUCCAGUUCUACUCUACCAGUACCAGUUCUACUCUACCAGUACCAGUUCUACUCUUCCAGUUCUACUCUACCAGUACCAGUUCUACUCUUCCAGUUCUACUCUACCAGUACCAGUUCUACUCUUCCAGUUCUACUCUACCAGUACCAGUUCUACUCUACCAGUACCAGUUCUACUCUACCAGUACCAGUUCUACUCUACCAGUACCAGUUCUACUCUACCAGUUCUACUCUACCAGUACCAGUUCUACUCUACCAGUACCAGUUCUACUCUUCCAGUUCUACUCUACCAGUACCAGUUCUACUCUUCCAGUUCUACUCUACCAGUACCAGUUCUACUCUACCAGUACCAGUUCUACUCUACCAGUACCAGUUCUACUCUACCAGUAACAAUAGAGCAGAGGAUGUGUUUUGUAGAGUCACUCCGUUGUAUGGCACCCUAUUCCCUAUGUAGUGCACUACAUUCGACAAAAGUUUUUUAUGGCUCUGGUCAAAAGUAGUGCACUAUAUAGGGAAUAUAGGGUGUCAUUUUCAGACACAACCUUUGCCUUCUGAUGCGGGGACAAUAACAUGAGAUAUUUCAAGGGGAAUUGUAUAAAUGCAAAAUUAUCCAAAUUGCCUGUGACAAAUUGAUAAAAAAAAAAAAGGCUUUUAUAAUUGAAUUGCUUAAAAAAAAAUAUAAAUACCUGAGAAUGUUUUGAUGUACAACAAAAGUCUUUAUUAAAAUACAUUAUUUAUGUUAACUUGAGUAAUGACUGUCCCUACAUGUCUACAAAUAUGGAGGAUAAAUCCUUGUACUCGAAUAACUGAUUGGAUCAUCAUGCGUAAUGCUUCUAGGUCAAACAAAUGUUCGUCAAUAUUAUUUAAUCAACUCUUAUUUAUACCUUGUAUUGCUCUGCAACUGGAUUUAAAUCACGAUAAUAUACUUAUUAUUCAGAUAUAGACCUAUUCAAUGAUAUACUAGGAAACUAUCCCAUAUACAUUAUGAAUCACUUUUUUGAGUUUAGGCCUAGUCUUUGAUCUCUUGCUUCAUUCCUCCUGUUCCGUACUUGAUAGUUACAUUAGCAGUGUUCAAGGCUGUUUACAUUAACCUGUCCAGUCAUUAUGUUUUUGGCAGCAUUUACAAAGUUUUGAUUAGAAAAUAGAUGGGACUGUUACUGUGCGUUUCCGUUGUUCAUAAAAAACAGCUGGAUGGAAUGACGUCACACCUAUUAAAAAAAAAAUUAUAAUAAUAAAAACACUUAGCAAAAACCGAGUGUCGAAUGAAAAGAAAGUGGUUGAAGUGUUUUCCAUUAUCCAUUUGGG